Molecule: ribosomal RNA, 254 nt
Filed under: uncultured bacterium
Lineage: Bacteria
Description: partial 16S ribosomal RNA
Rfam family: Bacterial small subunit ribosomal RNA
Source: RNAcentral
UACGGGGGAUGCGAGCGUUAUCCGGAUUUAUUGGGUUUAAAGGGUGCGUAGGCUGUGAGGUAAGUCAGCGGUGAAAUGCCCCCGCUCAACGGGGUGAAGUGCCGUUGAUACUGUCUCGCUGGAAUGCGGAUGCCGUGGGAGGAAUGUGUGGUGUAGCGGUGAAAUGCAUAGAUAUCACACAGAACACCGAUUGCGAAGGCAUCUCACGAAUCCGCGAUUGACGCUGAUGCACGAAAGCGUGGGUAUCAAACAGG